RNAcentral lists this unclassified non-coding RNA (8510 nucleotides) under Leishmania donovani. Its description in RNAcentral is "gene:LdHU3.33.4720(CDS-product:hypothetical_prote in_conserved)". The record is from RNAcentral. Lineage: Eukaryota; Euglenozoa; Kinetoplastea; Trypanosomatida; Trypanosomatidae.
UCUGCAUCUCACGCCUCCCUCACUCCCUUUGAGCCCCUCAUGCGCCUCCGUGCUCACAUUCGUUGAGUGUGCCAGUUCCCGUGUGUGCGAUUGCGCACUCCCCCCUUCCUCCCUUUUCCACUUGGUCUCCCACUUCGCUUGAGUCUAGGCCACACGCACGAUUCCACCCGCCACCCCGCCUCCCUGCCUGCCUUCAACUCGCUCUGUUUUUUUUUUUGCUGUUUCCGUGAGACCUUUUCUUUCUUUUCUGCGGAUCUUGUAGACAGUCGUGUCGCCAAGGGGCACGUGUGCUGUGAUUGUGCGCUGCUUGCCAUUGUUGAUCCCACUCGACUUCACCCGUCUCUCCCCCUCGCCGCAGGCUGCCUCUCAACAGAUUGUGGGGAUUUACAUGGCGCACCUGUACGUGAGCCACUCUGCUCCUCCAUUGGCACACUCAGCCACGAAGGAGGGACCCGCUACGUACCUGGAUCAGGUCGUCGGCGCUGCCGCGAAAGACGUCAUUUCCGGCCACAAAUCUGAACGCUCGGCACGGGCUUCUGUGUUUAACCUGCCCAGUGCCUCUGCGAGACGGUGGUCGCCGUUUACGGAGCGGUGCGGCUUCAAGGGGGCAACUGAAGAAUCGGCGUUCGAGUAUGCCGAAUCGGCUGCAGUCGACGCCGCAUCUCUAAUCAGCGAGCCCGAGCCGGCUCUACAGCCGUCAUCACUUCUGUCCUCAUUACCCCAACGAGCAAAAGACAGCCCCAGAAAUGCUCCCCCGGUGACGGUGCACCGCAAAUGGCCUCGUCAGCGCCUUCUUCCCUCGAUGCUGACGCGUAUCCGUCAUGCGCGCGGGGCAACUUUCGAAGUCGCAGCAGUGACCGCAACAGCGCACCAUCCAUACGAUGACGAGCAGGCUUUUCCAUCCACCGCGAGUGCAAGGGGCGUUGGUUGGGCGCGUGCUGUGUCGCUACCGACACUGGUGGAGGCAGUGAAACCUUCGCAGCAGCUACCGCCCAUCCGCCCUUCCCCUGCAGUAGCGCCGGAGCCGUGUGCCGCCGCUGCCGCAUCCUUCGCCUUUGUGCAGCAGGCCCUGAUCGACUACGAAGCACUCUCCCGGCGCGAUCUCAUAAUCGAUUUUUACGCCGCCUACCCCACACAGUCAGUAGUUGCCUUUGAACUACCACCGCCAGAGCUUGCCGCAGUCGCCCUGAGGACGGUCACGCGCAAGCCACCACCGCCGUUCCUCUCAUCUCCAUCGACCGGCGAGAGGCGAUCGGUGCCUUCACCGAAGAAGGCAACGGCCGCUACGUACCCCAGAGGCGCUUCGGCUGUCCACUUGAGCCGCCUUCGGCUGGUGUUUCCGGGCGCUCUCUGGCCUUUUAUCCUCCGCCAUCACCGCCAGCUGCUCACCCGCACGCUGAGGCGGGAUGUCGAGGCCUUUGUAUUUCCCAGUGAGGCGGUCGAGGUCCUUAGCCUGCACGCUGCAGGGGCGGAGAUGGAAGUCAUCCUGUCUUUAAAAGAGUCUUCUGACUCGCAGUCGAAGAUCUCAACCGCCCUUUUAGCCAGCUCCUUUGCAGAAUCGUGGGAGGUGUACAACCUGGUGGCGUUCUUCCUUUCGCGGGAGGUGACCCCGACACUACCUCAGUCGGUGGUAUGGCCGCCCUGGUGGCAUGAAAGCAGCACUCGCGCCAGCACUGCAACGCCGCAUACAGCGGUGGACGAGGCUGCGAGUUCCCCGCAACCGACGGCAGUGCCACCACCACCUUCGUCCCCAGUGCUGCGCAAGCACCAGAUGGCGCCAACCUUGUUCACACAGGCGUCGCUGUCGAAAAUCAGCGCCACUGCCGCGACGUCGGCGGCGCACCAGCCGCUGAAGCUGAUGGUACCUUUGCUGUUCCUUGAAAAGGCCUCCGAUGCGCUGCAGAAACUCAUUGAUACCGCGCCCUCACAGCUGCGGCUGGCGCUCCUCCGGGAUACCAUGUACGCUGUGCCGGAUGCGAGCGACGUGCAAGUUCACUCGUGGGCGGUUCAGCCAACCGGCCUCUACGUCAAGCUUCUCCUGCGCUGUGCGGAUGGAAACGGUGAGCACGUGGCGUCCGACUCCGAGACGGCAAUCAACUGCUGCUCGUUCACCGAAACGUGGGACGUUAUUCGAUCCUACACCACCGGCCUCGCAUCCUUGGCCGUCGAGGUGCCUAUUGUUGCUAAGCGCUGCGCCUCAACGCCGAGGACCGCCCCCGCGUCGCAGCAGGUGGACAGGAGUAUUAUGACGACUGCUUCCACCCUGGCGACUACCGUGACUGCGGCCACGCCACAGUCGGAGUUGCUUGUGCGCUCCGCCUCGCCGUGCACAGAGGAGGUGCGUCGACCAUGGUUGCUGUCUGAGGAUGCUGUGCUGAACGCCUCUGAGUACGCAAACAGCGAACGGCAUAGUGUCAGCACCACCAGCACUGUUUACAGCUUCAUUGCUCGAAAUGGUGCCAUCCUCAGCGCUGAAUCUUCCUCUGCGAGCGCGAACGAAAGCUUCGGCUCGGAAAGCUCUGUGGCGGCGACACCACGCCGAAAGCGGGCGGUGGUGCCACUGAAGAGGCGCGCCACCACCACGGCAAAGAUACGCACGGCUCCAACGGUCGCGACUGCGAUGGCACCGGGAUGGGUGAAUGAGUCGACCAGCAAGUCGUUCCUCACGCAGACAUACUCGACGCAGGUGUUGCUUUGCGGAACCCUCUCCGAGUCGAAAGUCAAGAGCAUCGGUGCCCCUCGCACGAGCUCGGCCUCAACGCCGACGUCGCCGCUGUCACCUCGGGUGCGCCCAAAGAAAGAGGACGCCUCUUCAGUGACGGGCGUGCUCGAACGUCGACCACAAGACAUUGCUGAGUCGGCCAAAUACUCCUCCGUGCGACUCACGCCGGGUACAAUCGCGGCCGAAAGUACGAUGGGGCACCCCAACGCUUACGUGCCCGACUCGGUGAAGGCAAACAGUGACGCAAAGACGGCGAGCAAGUCCCUGCCGGCGUCCUUUCUGUUUCCAACGUUGCUACCCAUACCACGGGACUCGUCGGAAAAGCCGGCAGUCGUCGGGCAAGAUCAGGAAGACAAGAUCACGCAAGCGAUGUACGACAGAGAGGAAGAGGCGGCGGCCACUGAGCUACAUGAUCUGCUUAAGCCACCACUGGAGCAGAAGCCGACGUCCUUGUCACGGCACACGAUCACAGAGCGCCAACUGGCCCAUCAGCAGCAGCGUGUCAGCUUUGAAGCGAAUGGAUAUGCAGGAUUCACGGACGCCGGCGUCACCAACAAGGAGUCGAGCACCACUUCAUCCCCUUCUGAGGACACUGCGAUGGCGGCUGACUUAGCAACGGAGAAGGCCGACUUGGACGGCGCGCAAGGAACGCAUGUUUCUUCCAUGGCGGGGGAGAAAUGCGAGGCGCUGCGGGAGCCGUACCCGCUGCAGCUGCACCGCGCGUUGAAGGAAGACGUGCACACUUUCUUUGGCGCGCUCACGGGCGCGAUAGAGAAAGUGAUCGUCAGGCGCGCCGACAAGCUCUACGAGGAAGUGAUGGGUGCAUCAGGUGUGGUGCUGCAGCCGUCCAAUCUGGAGCUGAAGGCGGAGGCGAGCGCCGCCGCCCCCACUACCUCAUACGUCUUUUCGCCAGCAACCGUGGAGCUCCUCCCAGUGCUGCGGACGCUCCACAUGACAGAUUUCCACACACAGCACGCUCAGCGCCACCUCCGUCCGCGGAGCUCGUUCGCCGUGUCGUCCAGGUACAGCGCGGCAGAGGCUACCAUGCAGCGCCGCGCCGUUCCCAUCGAAAGCCUCGUGGAUGCCACCGCGAAGGCUGUCACUAUCAAUCAAGUGGAAGUACUCUCGCCGCUCUCUGCGUCAGUAGAGUCUUCGCCAGCGAAGCGCGGACCAAAGUUUCACUACGAACUCUCUAGCGCCCUGCGGGAUCGUCUGCUUGCAGACCGCGGCAAUGGCGUGACGAAGGCAGCGAUGCAUGAUGUCAACGCUGUGUUGGUGCCCACCAAGACCGAGAUGGCCCUGCAGGAGGUGACCGUCGCUGACGGUAGCUCGCGGCAGGCCGACUUCUCCGUCCCAACAGAUGCGCUUGAGCGGUCGCCGCUGCUUCACCGGUGCGCACUCACCGAAUCCUCCGCAGCCUGCGCACCCGUGCGGGUGCUGCUUCGUCGCUUCUUUAACGUCCCGGGGCUCACCGACGAAAAGCUGGCAGGCGAGCUGGAGGCAGUGCGCACGCUCUUUUCCGCAGAGACGUGCGCCGUGCUUGACACGCCGGAUGAUGUGGUGGAGGACCUGCAACUCUCCGGCCACCUCACGGUGGAUGCGACGGUGCGGUUGCCGAGCACUAACUCUGUGGCAGAAUGGUGCUCGCUGCUGUUGGAGCAUGACUACCCGAAGGUGAAUGAGCUGCUGCACGAGUCGGCAGCGGCACGAGCGCCGGGGGCACCACCACACGUAGAGGCAAACGUACAGCCGGAGGCGAUGCGCUGCAGUACUCUCUUAUCCAGCUGCACGUUGAAGCUCCCACCGACGGCCAGUGCGGCGCCGGUAGGGCCAGACGGCCGAGACGCCAGCUCACACGCCGUCUACGUAGAAGGCGACUUGUGGCCAGCGUUAAUAGAGCAGCGUGCUGAUGUGCUGUGCGAGGCGCUCAUCUCAGACGCCACCGCAGCUCUCUCCGCUAUCGGGGGCUCGGUGCACAGGGUGAGCGCGUUGCCGUACGCCAACGGCGCGCUUUUCACGCUUCAUCUCCACAGCUGCGGCGCCAGGUCGCUGUGCGCGGUGGAGGACGCGCUACAGCAAUGCCCUCUCACAGCUGCCCGGGCGCUGUGCCGCCGCUUCGGCGGAACGUCGCGCCACCUCCGCAAUCAUAACGUAACGGACACCAUGUACAGAGCACACCUAGAGGGAAAGGCAUGGAGGCAGGUGCUGGAGGAGCACGGUGACCUCCUCGCUGAAACCUUUGAGCGGGAGGCGCUGCAGUGCCUGCGUGGCAGUGAAGUCGCCGCAAUGCCUGUCACCGUUGCCGUGACGGGCAUUGCGGCGAAGCCGGACGGGAUCACGAUCGCGUACGAUGUAGCUAGCACGACGGUCUGUGCUGACGUUGAUCGAGGGCGAGUGGCGCACGCGAUCAUCGAAUACCCCUUCCCUCAGCUGUGGAAGAUGUAUGACAACUUCAUGCUGGCCAGGGAACCGCUCAAGCACAGCAAGAACACGCUCCGGAUUGCCCCCCGCCAUCUUAGCACAAUGCUCGACGUCGCCGAGGUCCCGAACCAACGCCAGUGCUCGCACGGCGGGCUUACGCUGGAAAUGUCACUCGACACUCUCGAGGCAAACAUGGCGGCCAUUGUGCCCGAUGGCAAGCUCGAGAGAGCAGGUCCGCUGGCUGUCGGAAGCAAAGCCGAGAUGAUGAAAGGGCAGAAGGUGUACGAGCUCAAUUACUUGUCAGCUCCAGCCGCGGUGUCGGCGCUUCCAGUCGCGGAAGUGCCGCGGGAGGCUGCUGUCGUGCUUAGCGCGCGGGCCUCUCUAGUGGACAGCGCGGAAGCGACGGAGACGCCUCCAGCGGCAGCCGUAGUGUCCAAUGUGCGCGUUGUCGGGUUGGAGAGAGACCGCAUGGAGGUGGAUACACGCGUUGCAAACCAGCCGCCCCCACUCCCUCGUCUGCAGACAUCCUUGCCACAGCGGAGGGAGCCGAGGGUGCACCAGCAGGAGCAGCAGCAGCAACGGCGGCACGACGGGCAGAGACGUGUCAGGGAACAGACAACGAACACUUGCGAGCACCGAGCGCCGACGUACGCUGCGACCGUGUCAUUCAUGGAAACGGAGUAUGAGGAAGACGACGAAGCAGAUGAAGAUGCCGCGUCGUUGGAGAGCGACGGAUUCGCUGAGCACACAGCUGCGCUGACGCCUGUUCCUCUGCGCCGCAGCACAGCCGCACGGACGGUAGGCUCGGCCCGCGCCGCGCCAGUCUCUACCAAGGCGGCUCCCGUCAUACGCAUGCCCGUGACACCGUUACCGCCUUUGAAGGUCUUCAGCAACGCGGCGUCGGUGGAGCGCCGCACGCCGUGGGCUGUCGGACCGAGCGCUCGCCUUCCCAAAACUCUGCAAGGCGUCGCUGCCUCAGCGAUCCCCUCCCUGUCGCCCGUCUCCAUCCGGAUCGCUGCGGCCCCCUCUCAGGUGCCACUGAAACAAGCACUGCGUGCUGCCUCAGCGCCUGCUCAGAAGAGCCCCCUAUCGGGUCUCGACUCAAGCUUGGCAGGUGAGGAGCCUAUGCGUCUGCCAACGCUUUACGCUGAAGGGGAAGGGAAGAUGCACGGCAAGUCGCGGAUAUCAGCAUCGUCUUCCCCCGCACGAUCGCUACCUCUCGUGAAGGUCUGCCCGGCGGCGCCGAUCACGGUUGUGGACAUGCGCAUGGAACAUCCGCCUAAGACGGAUGUGCUUGAAGCAAAGCCGGCUGUUAGCACCAUUCCCAUACUGAGCUGCCCUCGGUCCAGCGCCCAUUGUUACUCAGGUACCAAGACCGCGCCUUGCGCGCUUCUGCAGACGAGCCAGGUCAAUACGGCAGCGAGGCACCUCUACACUGCUCCGAAGCUGCCCUCGAGCGAGCCGACUUCACUCUAUUACAGCCACUCUCCGCAGACGAUCACAGUUGCGUCCUCUUCUCAAUACGGCAGCGCGUCCAAGAUGCGAUCCAGCGUCCUUAGAUCCGUGCCCGCGUCACCUCUGCCAACGACUAGGAUGCUUCCGCGCCACUCGUCGUCGUUCGUCUUCGUUGCUACGGAACCGAGCCGCAGCCUGCAGAGGUUGCAGGACGACUUUGACUUGAUCGAGAGGACGAUCCGUGCACGCUACUCUUGCAUGCAGCGCGAGCUCAUAGCGACGGUCACGGCCGCUCUACCCGGCUUGUAGAAAAUGCAUAGUGCAGGCAGUAUGCGCUGCAAGAUUUACCGACAUGCGACAUGUAUUGCUGCUGCUGCUGCUGCCACAGGGAGCGCGUGAGACGAUGGCGGACGUUUUUGAGGCGCACAUAUGCGCAGUUGUUCGUGUGUGUUUGCGUGCUGCUCACGUUUGCUGGUGAAGAGGGGAUUGUGUGUGGGUCUGCACUCCUGUCCCCUUCGUGUAUUGUGCUUAAGAAUAGGGGCACAUGUGCCGUGAGCCGUCGACGGCGCACCGACGCUCCAUCCUACACAACUCUCUACCGGGUGCACGGUAGCAAUCUGGGUGGUUUGAUGUGCACCUCAGCCCCGUUGUGCGUGAGCAGCUGACCUGACGAGGACAAGCUUGGCAAGGACGCACAGCAGUGAGUAGGGGGAGGGUGCCACAAUUCCAUGCGGCGGCAGAAGCGUCCUGCCGUUUAUUUUUUUUUUAGCGGUGCGUGCGAGUAUUCAUUUAUUAUUUGUAUCAUUUUUUGUCCGGUCGUUUUGUCUGCUCAGCCCUCAUCGCCCCUUCUUCCUCGUGCGGCUUUCUGAAACCCUCGGCAUGCUGCAUAAAAACCUUCUCUUGUGUCUGUCUGUCUACCUCCUUCUUUGUGUGCUGAGCCUUUUCUUUGCCGAUAUGUGCAAAGGAGGAAAGGGGGAAGGGCGGGCGAGAGCUGAGAAUCACGAAAAAGCGGAGGUGUGCGAGAGGUGCUCUCUCCGACCUCUCCCACUCUCCUCUACCUCACUAAGGGUACGUUUUACGCCUAUAAAUACCCGCUUAGAAACCUUUGUGUGCGUAGAUGUGAUUGCAUUUUUUCCCUCUUUGGUACGGUGUGAUACAAGUCCAAUGUACACGAUAGAUAUCCCAUCAUGCGCACAUGUGUUGAUAAGGGCAUGCACACUCAAAUACACGCAAUCGAUGCCGCUCUCUCGCGUCCCCUCCCUACCACAUUCUCUGUUCCCUGUGCUUGCUUUCUUUUUUUUAAGGAUGCAAGUGAAAAGCAGCCAAGCCUGCAUCUCUCCCUGUAUGCGCGUGGGUGCGGGGGUGGGUAUGUGCUGUGCUGUUUUCUCAGCAUCGGCGUUCUUCUGUUUUUUUUUUGUGCUUUACUGGUGUUGCCUCUACCACCACUAUCACCAUCUCCCCUCCCUCCCUUUAUCACUCUCGAAACCGUCUCUUUUUUUUCGCGCCGACGUAACUCCUCCUCCACAGCCAUCACUACUUGGUGGAUGCCAGCGUUGGCGGUCUUUCACGUCGCCAACUCUAAAGGGACACAAACUUUUCGUGCAAUGAAUACUCAUGUCGUCCUUCCGCUUUUCUUGUUCAUCCUGCUCCGCAUUUUCUUUUUUUACUGUAGAUUUUGCAUUUUUUUUUUUGGAAGUUCCGGGGCUACUAUUCAGCUUGCUUGAACCCCUCGCGCCACCUGAGCACGGGGAUGAGGAAGACACAGGUACCUCGAUGCUCCUCCCUCUCCCUCUCCCUCUCUCCUCUUGCAGCACGUGUGCGGCACCGGUGGUCUCUUCUUAUAUAAGUGAGCACGUUCAAAAUAUCCUCUCCUUCAUGUACAAUAUAAACUCGCGAUGAGGGGAUGUCGUCG